UCANAGGAAUUUGUCUUUUAAUCGUCAUUACCCGAUUAUUUUCACUUUUUUUCAUUUUCUAUACCGCCGUCUUAAGAACAAAUUCCAGAGUUUGCUCUUAAACUCUUUUGGUAAGUCAGGUCAAGGUGGAGACUAUAAGAAAGAAUAGAUUAAUUAUUUAUAAAUCAUAUUUAAAGUCGCUUUUCUAAAGAGAUUCUAAAUCAAGAUUUGAAAGUAGUUUUUUAUUAAAGAUUUAAAACAAACUUUGUUUAGGUGUACAUAUCGCCCGUCACCCUCGUCCAAAGAUGAGGUAAGUCGUAACAUAGUUAGUGUACUGGAAAGUGUACUAAGGGGGUUUAAAAGCUUUAGCGUUUCAUUUACACAGAAAAGAAUGUUUACAAAAUUUUUCUAUUGUUUAUUAUUUAAAAUAAUAUUUUUAAAAUUUUAAUUCUAGUCUUUUUUUUUGUCACCGUAGGGGGUCUAUAAAUUGUUUUUAAGAAAUUUUUAUUUCUACCUUUUGUAUCAGGGUGCCUCAAACCUCCCCUUAAAAAAGUUCAUCCCGAAAUAAAAUGAGCUACUUCUUUCUUUAUACUUUGUAGCAAAAAAAUAGUAAAAAUUUAGUAGAAGUGAAAUUCUAUCCGUAUUUUUUUUUAUCUGGUUUUUUCAGAGAGUAUUAUUACUAAAAUCUAAAAAGGGACAAUCUUUUUCAGUCAUUUUAUUUCUUUCUUCUUUAUUAUUUUAGGAUUAGUAGUGUCUUUUUGUGUAAAAACUUUAUUUAUUAUAUCAAAUAAAUAAAAUUAUGAAAUUUUUAUCUUUUUAUAAAAAUAAUGAUUUAAUCAGUAAAGAUCGAUUUAAACUUAUUUAAUUAAAUUUAUUAAAAUAACUCUUUAAAUUUUUAUUCAUGAACUCGGCUAAGUUUUCUGACUGUUUACCAAAAACAUUUCUGAAUGCUUUUUCUUUUCAGUAAGACCUGCUCAAUGAUAUUUCAAUAGCCGCGAUUACGUGCUAAGGUAGCAUAAUCAAUUGCCUUAUAAUUUAAGGCUAGAAUGAAAGGUUUAACAUGAUAACUUCUUUAUAAAUAAAAAUUCUUUAAUUUUACUUUUAAGUAAAAAGGCUUAUAUUACCAAGGAAGACGACAAGACCCUGACGAGCUUUACUUAAUUUAGUUGAACUGGGGUGGUAAAAAACUAAAUCUUUUAAUUCCGUUAAUUUAUAUCCUUUAUAAAAGAUCUCAAGUUACCGCAGGGAUAACAGCAUAAUUUUUUUCUAGAGACCUUAUCUAAAAAAAAGAUUGUGACCUCGAUGUUGAAUUAAUU
This 1295-nucleotide ribosomal RNA is filed under the name Myrmekiaphila fluviatilis. RNAcentral's name for it is "partial 16S large subunit ribosomal RNA". Lineage: Eukaryota; Metazoa; Arthropoda; Arachnida; Araneae; Euctenizidae. The record is from RNAcentral.